RNAcentral lists this ribosomal RNA (501 nucleotides) under uncultured bacterium. RNAcentral describes it as "partial 16S ribosomal RNA". It matches the Rfam family "Bacterial small subunit ribosomal RNA", at positions 30 to 523 of the family's 1533-position model. The record is from RNAcentral.
AUUGAACGCUGGCGGCAUGCCUUACACAUGCAAGUCGAACGGCAGCACGGGUGCUUGCACCUGGUGGCGAGUGGCGAACGGGUGAGUAAUAUAUCGGAUCGCACCUUAUUGUGGGUGAUAACGGAGCGAAAGCUGUGCUAAUACCGUAUAAUCCCUAAGGGGCAAAGCGGGCGACCGUAAGGCCUCGCGCAAUUAGAGCGGCCGAUACCUGAUUAGAUAGUUGGUACGGUAAAGGCUCACCAAGGAAACGAUCAGUAGCUGGUCUGAGAGGACGAUCAGCCACACUGGACCUGCGACACGGCCCAGACUCCUACGGGAGGCAGCAGUGGGGAAUUUUGGACAAUGGGGGCAACCCUGAUCCAGCAAUGCCGCGUGAGUGAAGAAGGCCUUCGGGUUGUAAGGCUCUUUUGUCAGGGAAGAAACAGCAGCUCUAACACAGUAUGCGAAUGAUGGUACCUGAAGAAUAAGCACCGGCUAACUACGUGCCAGCCGCCGCCGUAA